AAACUUUCAACAACGGAUCUCUUGGUUCUGGCAUCGAUGAAGAACGCAGCGAAAUGCGAUAAGUAAUGUGAAUUGCAGAUUUCAGUGAAUCAUCGAAUCUUUGAACGCACAUUGCGCCCUCUGGUAUUCCGGAGGGCAUGCCUGUUCGAGCGUCA
Molecule: ribosomal RNA, 155 nt
Filed under: Phyllosticta sp. TACP00K1014
Lineage: Eukaryota; Fungi; Ascomycota; Dothideomycetes; Botryosphaeriales; Phyllostictaceae
Also listed under: 1 other name
Description: 5.8S rRNA
Rfam family: 5.8S ribosomal RNA
About the family: 5.8S ribosomal RNA (5.8S rRNA) is a component of the large subunit of the eukaryotic ribosome. It is transcribed by RNA polymerase I as part of the 45S precursor that also contains 18S and 28S rRNA. Functionally, it is thought that 5.8S rRNA may be involved in ribosome translocation.
Source: RNAcentral